AAACGGUUUCUUGGGCGAUUCAGGCAAAGAAUUUCCCAUAUAAGGACUGUAUCGUUAAUUAUGAGUACACCUGGAAAUAGCUGUAGGGUAAUUGUUCCCAUUGUUGUGGUAGUACCUAAUGUUGCGGUAAUGGCAAUUGAGCACUUUUUCGACUGAAAUGUUACCAAAAGGUAUUUUUAAUAGAUGUAUGCAUUAGCAUUAGCAUUAGCAUUAAGCGAGUCGCACAAAUUCGUAGGUGGUACAGUCCUAGACCGCUGUUAUGAGGGUUGCCUCCUUCCCGUCCGAACCAAAGCACAAAGAUUUGGAACUAAUCUCUGACUCUUAGACAAGACUGACGCAAUCCUCCAAUGGUCGAGCACUGUCCUGGCCACGUCCUUGCGACUGCUGAGGAAUGGGAAAGGAUGGUUAGUUUUGGACACCUAUGAAAAAUGUAGACAACUCUACGAUCUCUCAGGCCUAGGUGUCACGGGAAUUUGGGUGUUGUUAGUGGAAGGGUAAACUUCAAAGGAUACGCUUGGUUAGCGUUCAGGCACACCAUUGUUAGACUGCUUCGAAUCAGUUGUCUGCCUAAUUCAUCCUGGUUUCCUCGUCAUCUUGUUGGCAUUUGGUUGAAUUACUAGAUUCUUCGGUUGAUAAUCUGAAAUAUAAAAUAAUAUUAACAUCGUACGUCAAAUAAGCUACAUAUUAGUGGUACGCUCGCCACAGUUACAUAUUUAAAAAAAAAAAAAAUAUUAAUAUUGUACGAUACAUUUACCUGAAUCCUGCUGAAAUAAAAUGUUAAUUAGCAGUACUACACAAACACUACAAAACACAAGGAAAAGAGCAUCAAACUUUGAUCUUGGAAUAUUUAAAGGUACGGUAAAUAUCAAAAUCAAAAUUUGAUUUGGUAGAUCUUACACCGCAACGCACCAUUCUAAGGUGAUCUACCCACGUUGCGGGGAUGCUUUUGGAAUUUGGAGCUCAGCUCCCGAAAUACAAACUAUUUGAACUCGAACGAUUUAGUUGAAGUGACACAGCGUUCGACUAUUGAUUUAGAAUAAUAAAUUACUUCGAAUUUAGUUUGUACUCCACUUUUUUUCUCGCGUCACGCUAAUAAACUUUGAAUUGAUUA
Aedes albopictus (Asian tiger mosquito) is the source of this 1111-nucleotide long non-coding RNA. RefSeq lists it as uncharacterized. The transcript is spliced from 2 exons. NCBI's taxonomy places the organism in Eukaryota, Metazoa, Arthropoda, Insecta, Diptera, Culicidae. The record is from RefSeq and is a predicted model, not a curated record.